RNAcentral lists this ribosomal RNA (502 nucleotides) under uncultured bacterium. RNAcentral's name for it is "bacterial SSU rRNA". It matches the Rfam family "Bacterial small subunit ribosomal RNA", at positions 29 to 525 of the family's 1533-position model. The record is from RNAcentral.
AUUGAACGCUGGCGGCAUGCCUUACACAUGCAAGUCGAACGGCAGCGCGGGAGCAAUCCUGGCGGCGAGUGGCGAACGGGUGAGUAAUAUAUCGGAACGUGCCCAGUAGUGGGGGAUAGCCCGGCGAAAGCCGGAUUAAUACCGCAUGAGACCUGAGGGUGAAAGCGGGGGAUCGCAAGACCUCGCGCUAUUGGAGCGGCCGAUAUCAGAUUAGCUAGUUGGUGGGGUAAAGGCCUACCAAGGCAACGAUCUGUAGUUGGUCUGAGAGGACGACCAGCCACACUGGGACUGAGACACGGCCCAGACUCCUACGGGAGGCAGCAGUGGGGAAUAUUGGACAAUGGGGGCAACCCUGAUCCAGCCAUGCCGCGUGAGUGAAGAAGGCCCUCGGGUUGUAAAGCUCUUUUGUCCGGAAAGAAAAGCAAUCGGUUAAUACCCGGUUGUUCUGACGGUACCGGAAGAAUAAGCACCGGCUAACUUCGUGCCAGCAGCCGCGGUAAAG